This 229-nucleotide ribosomal RNA is filed under the name uncultured bacterium. Its description in RNAcentral is "partial 16S ribosomal RNA". It matches the Rfam family "Bacterial small subunit ribosomal RNA", at positions 568 to 796 of the family's 1533-position model. The record is from RNAcentral.
UACGUAGGCGGAAGAUUAAGUCAGUAGUGAAAUCCCGCAGCUUAACUGUGGAAUUGUUAUUGAUACUGGUUUUCUUGAAUUUAGUUGAGGUAGGCGGAAUGUGUAAUGUAGCGGUGAAAUGCUUAGAUAUUACACAGAACACCGAUUGCGAAGGCAGCUUACUAAGCUAUGAUUGACGCUGAGGUACGAAAGCGUGGGGAGCGAACAGGAUUAGAUACCCUGGUAGUCC